RNAcentral lists this ribosomal RNA (429 nucleotides) under Bacillota bacterium. RNAcentral describes it as "Firmicutes bacterium partial 16S ribosomal RNA". It matches the Rfam family "Bacterial small subunit ribosomal RNA", at positions 355 to 776 of the family's 1533-position model. The record is from RNAcentral. Lineage: Bacteria; Bacillati; Bacillota.
UAGGGAAUCUUCGGCAAUGGACGGAAGUCUGACCGAGCAACGCCGCGGGAGUGAAGAAGGUUUUCGGAUCGUAAAGCUCUGUUGUUAGAGAAGAACGUUGGUAGGAGUGGAAAAUCUACCAAGUGACGGUAACUAACCAGAAAGGGACGGCUAACUACGUGCCAGCAGCCGCGGUAAUACGUAGGUCCCGAGCGUUGUCCGGAUUUAUUGGGCGUAAAGCGAGCGCAGGCGGUUCUUUAAGUCUGAAGUUAAAGGCAGUGGCUUCACGAUUGUACGCUUUGGAAACGGUAGGAUUGGAGUGCAGAAGAGGAGGGUGGAAUUCCAUGUGUAGCGGUGAAAGGCGUAGAUAUAUGGAGGACCACCGGUGGCGAAGCCGGCUCUCUGAUCUGUAACGGACGCGGAGGCUGGAAGGCGUGGGGAGCAAACAGG